CUUAAAUCUUCUAAACCUGAUCCUGUGAUUUUGUACAGAAACUUUUUGCUCGGUCAAAAUGCUCCGGUCACUUCUUCUCCGACGCUCCGACGGCCAUUCGCUUGGUUGGUAUAAUCAUGUACCUCCCGACAGCAGACCCUCGCCAGAGGAAGGACAUCACAGAUGAGUUUUUCCACUAUAGACGUUUGACACAAGCACAUUUGUGGGAUCAAUAUUCUGCAUAUGAACAUUAAUUGGGCCAAAAUUGAGAUACCGAAGGAUAAAGAGGAACUUGAAGCCCUACAAGAAAGACUCAGAAAACGAUUCCCUGUGGAUGCUUACAACAAAGAACGAAGGGAGCUUGACCCAAACAGAAUUCUCUCCAACAAUAACAAUAUGGUGGAAAAGCUCUUCCCGUUCUCCAACACUGCCUGAAACAUUUUCAUCAAUAGCUGAUUGAUUCUUGGAAAUUAAUUUUGGUAGAAUUCUUUUCAGUCAUUUUGCUAGGACC
Long non-coding RNA from Raphanus sativus (radish), 490 nucleotides. RefSeq lists it as uncharacterized. The transcript has 3 exons. The record is from RefSeq and is a predicted model, not a curated record. Lineage: Eukaryota; Viridiplantae; Streptophyta; Magnoliopsida; Brassicales; Brassicaceae.